CAUCGGCAAGCGCCCGCCGGCCGUCAAGGACCCCGGAAACCUCGCCGGAGCUCUCGGGCUCCGUUCUGGGCGAAACCGUGUGCUGCCCUGGGGAAGAGAUGCCCCGGGGCAGGGGGCCAGCAAGCUUCGAGAUGUGCGUGCCGCCAUCGUCGCCGCCGCCACUGCCAUUGAGUUCUCCUUGUGUCGGCUUUGAUUUGCCUGCCUGACACUUUGUGAAGAACCGCACAACUGCUACGGAUCGGAGAAGAGCUGCACAGAUGCCGCCUCCUGGGCUCCGUGGCCAUGGCCGGUGCCACGCGAGUUGCUGUCGUCGCCAGAGAAGGGGGGUCCUGGACGAAGGGGUGGGAGGGAAGGGGAUGAACCAUCAACUCCCGGGCGCGGCGCAGGGCUCCGGCGAGCAGUGGCGCCGGCGGCGGCCUCCUCGCAACGAGUGUGGUUUCUCCACCUGUGCCGGCCCGGGCAGGUCUGGCCAUAGCGCCUUGACGAGCAGGCAUUCUUCUCCACAAGCUCAACAAUGGAGUCUUCCUCCUCUUCUUAGAUCCGGAUUUUCCGGAAGUUGGUGAGGAGCCCCAAUGGCGGUUGGAAAAGAGGAACGGAGCCAUCGGAAAGAGCUGGUUCAGCGUAUUUCAAUCGACGAACCAGCAACGGGCCGGGAUUUGUUUCGAUUGAACCAGCAACGGCCCGUUCAUAGCUGCUACCAUUCAUGCUCCAAUCACACUUCAACCAUGGAGGCAUGGGGAAUCAAAUGGGUCUGUUCUAUUCCUAAUCGAUUUCCGAAACUAGGUUCCGAACCAUCUUGCACUGCAUCCACUGUUUGUUUUUACGAGUAUUUUUCUGUCUACAUUUCUUGUUUGUUCACAAGCAAAUCAGGUGCAGGAAUGACAUUCCAGGAUAUAUAUGGUAAUGAGAGCCGGCAGUGGAGUGUUGAACACUGCAGCUGAUGAGUUGAAUGAAAAAAAUGGUAGUAGCAGCGUAGAAGAAGGAUUAGACCUCCAAUGGAUAUUCAGGAGUUGUUUGGAUGUUGAAAGUUACCCUGUGGAACAUAACUCAUCUGUGGAAGCUGAAUCUUCCUCCAUUUGCGUGGGAGAUGGUGGCAGAAAGUCCAUAGGACUUUCGACAGGAGAGGAGGCUGCUGGCAACCAGAAUGAAUCAGUGCAGUUUGUCUUAGAAAUUGAACACGAAGGGAAUGAUUCUGCCCAACGCACAAUGAUCAGUACAGAAACUGUAGCUCAGCCAUGGCCUAAAGGUAAGAGGCUGCCUCAAGGCACCUAAAGGGUGCCCCCAAAGCUUAAUGGGUGCAAUCGAGAGGGCGCUACACAAUUCUUCAAAUAGAAAGGGUAAAUACACCUGGAAUGACUUUUGAUUGCGUGAGUGAAGCACAAAAGUUUUAUAAUAUAUAUAUUCUUGGGAGGAUGGAUUUGGUACAAAGGAGGAGGAUAAAUAUGGGAAAAUAAUGCAAGAAUUUCAAAGCCAGUACCAUGCAACCGAGUUGCUAAUGUUAAUGGAAGUAGUUGUGAGUAUGCUGCUACCGAAACAGAUUGUGAAUCCAUCGGAACUUGUAUGGUGCAGCAGGAUCUAGUGCUAGUUUGAGUGAAAAUUAGGCGUGGUGUUCAAAGGAUGAAUCGCUACAAGACAAGGAAUGAGAUAAUAAGGGAGAAAUUGAAGCAGUUAGGGAGGAAGGUUUGCAAGAAGAAGAAGAAAACAAGAAGUGUUGCAGCACCCGCGGGCUUGAUGACCAACAUGUCAGAAUGCGUAACAAAAAAAUGUUGGUAUUACUGAGACUGGGGAGUUCUGAUUUCAACUGAUGCUAGUAUCUGGACCUGAUGGUAGAUGGUGUUUUGGUAGUUGGACAUGCAAGAUUUGUAGUGCCUACAAUCCAUUUUGCAUGUAGGUCCCUUUGAUUGAUGGUUCAUGUAUUUGCGUGUGGAUGCCAAGUUAUUAUCUUUUUAUAUCACUACUAAAUGUAUUGUUGAGACAAUUUAAUAUACCACUGGCACGAUUCAAUGGAAAAUAUUUGGCACUGUUGACCAAUCUA
Panicum virgatum (switchgrass) is the source of this 2035-nucleotide long non-coding RNA. RefSeq lists it as uncharacterized. The transcript is spliced from 6 exons. The record is from RefSeq and is a predicted model, not a curated record. Lineage: Eukaryota; Viridiplantae; Streptophyta; Magnoliopsida; Poales; Poaceae.